CCUUAUAUUUCUAUAAGGAUCAGAUCAUAUCAUCAUUCUUAUUAGAAUGCUCCCCGUUUCAGCUUUCAAACAUUAAAAGCCUACAAUUGAUCGUUGCACCUGUUUAAAUUAUUAAACUUGGCUCAGGAUUAUCUAAAUAUUGACAUUAUUACUAUUUGAGUAGUCAAAAUAUUAGGAUGUUCCCUGAAUUAAAGGAGUUUUUAGGGACCUCAAUACUUAAUCCCAAGGAAUGCGUCGCCUGAUCUCUGAGUCAUCAUACAGCUCAAUUU
This 269-nucleotide non-coding RNA is filed under the name Klosneuvirus KNV1. Lineage: Varidnaviria; Bamfordvirae; Nucleocytoviricota; Megaviricetes; Imitervirales; Mimiviridae. The record is from RNAcentral.